RNAcentral lists this ribosomal RNA (390 nucleotides) under uncultured bacterium. RNAcentral's name for it is "bacterial SSU rRNA". It matches the Rfam family "Bacterial small subunit ribosomal RNA", at positions 30 to 416 of the family's 1533-position model. The record is from RNAcentral.
AUUGAACGCUAGCGGCAUGCUUAACACAUGCAAGUCGAACGGCAGCACGAGGAGCUUGCUCCUUGGUGGCGAGUGGCGGACGGGUGAGUAACGCGUAGGAAUCUACCUUAUAGUGGGGGACAACCCGGGGAAACUCGGGCUAAUACCGCAUAAUCUUUACGAAGCAAAGCAGGGGACCUUCGGGCCUUGCGCUAUAAGAUGAGCCUGCGUCGGAUUAGCUAGUUGGUGGGGUAAAGGCCUACCAAGGCGACGAUCCGUAGCUGGUCUGAGAGGACGACCAGCCACACUGGGACUGAGACACGGCCCAGACUCCUACGGGAGGCAGCAGUGGGGAAUAUUGGACAAUGGGCGAAAGCCUGAUCCAGCAAUGCCGCGUGUGUGAAGAAGGCC